Long non-coding RNA from Phragmites australis (common reed), 695 nucleotides. RefSeq lists it as uncharacterized. The transcript is spliced from 2 exons. The record is from RefSeq and is a predicted model, not a curated record. Lineage: Eukaryota; Viridiplantae; Streptophyta; Magnoliopsida; Poales; Poaceae.
AAUAUUAAGGUACUGUUUAUCUACACUCAAAAUCACUGUUCAUUCCGGUGACAUUGCUUCGUAAUGUCAGAGUAUGCGAGUCCGUAUAUGACAUGACAUAUCAAAUCUCGCAUACAUGUAUGUGUAUGUCAGUCGAUAAAUACGACUGAUCUCUUCUUGGGAUUGAUUGUUGGGACAGGGAGAGAAGGAUGACAAGAUCAUAGCAGUCUGCACCGAUGAUCCCGAGUACCGCCACUAUAAUGAUCUCAGCGAGCUCUCACCUCAUCGCAUCCAGGAAGUCCGACGAUUCGUCGAAGAUUGUGAGCUGCCAGUGUCCUUAAUUUGCUGCUUUUUGAAAAGAUCUUUUCCCCCUCAAUUCCGUUGUCUUUUCAACAUAAUGUUAAGACAAGAAGAACGAGAACAAGGAGGUUGCCGUGAACGAGGUUCAGCCUCCGAGCACCGCCCGGAUGCCAUCCAGUAGUACUCCAUGGGUCUCUAUGCGCAAUACUUUUUGCAGAGCUUGCGACAGUAGUCUUAUGACAAUUGUUUCACCAGUACUGAGCGUGUGUGGAAGAGUCGAGUCCCAGCAUGAGUAUGCUUAGCCAGGGAACACAAGUUUGCCUUAGCUGCUACUAGAGAUGUGUAUUUAUGUAUGCAUUACUGAAAAGUUGUAAGAAAUAGAAGCCCUAGUUGCUUGUGAAGCUGUUCCAGGCCUC